GACGAACGCUGGCGGCGUGCUUAAUACAUGCAAGUCAACUGAGCUUAAGGUAGCAAUAUUUUAAGUGCGGUGGCGCACGGGUGAGUAACACGUAGGUAAUCUGCCUUUAGGUCUGACAUAAUCCCGCGAAAGCGGGACUAAAAUCAGAUGAUGCAGCGGCUCGACAUCGAGACAGUUGUUAAACCUUCGGGGCCUAAAGAUGAGCCUGCGUCUGAUUAGGUAGUUGGCGGAGUAAAAGCCCACCAAGCCUGCGAUCAGUAGCUGGUCUGAGAGGAUGAUCAGCCACACUGGAACUGAGACACGGUCCAGACUCCUACGGGAGGCAGCAGUAAGGAAUAUUGCUCAAUGGCCGAAAGGCUGAAGCAGCAACGCCGCGUGGAGGAUGAAAUACUUUUGUAUGUAAACUCCUGUAAGAGGGGAAAAAUAUUU
This 429-nucleotide ribosomal RNA is filed under the name uncultured bacterium. RNAcentral describes it as "bacterial SSU rRNA". It matches the Rfam family "Bacterial small subunit ribosomal RNA", at positions 28 to 454 of the family's 1533-position model. The record is from RNAcentral.